Molecule: ribosomal RNA, 678 nt
Filed under: Staphylococcus aureus
Lineage: Bacteria; Bacillati; Bacillota; Bacilli; Caryophanales; Staphylococcaceae
Description: bacterial SSU rRNA
Rfam family: Bacterial small subunit ribosomal RNA
Source: RNAcentral
UAGCCGACCUGAGAGGGUGAUCGGCCACACUGGAACUGAGACACGGUCCAGACUCCUACGGGAGGCAGCAGUAGGGAAUCUUCCGCAAUGGGCGAAAGCCUGACGGAGCAACGCCGCGUGAGUGAUGAAGGUCUUCGGAUCGUAAAACUCUGUUAUUAGGGAAGAACAUAUGUGUAAGUAACUGUGCACAUCUUGACGGUACCUAAUCAGAAAGCCACGGCUAACUACGUGCCAGCAGCCGCGGUAAUACGUAGGUGGCAAGCGUUAUCCGGAAUUAUUGGGCGUAAAGCGCGCGUAGGCGGUUUUUUAAGUCUGAUGUGAAAGCCCACGGCUCAACCGUGGAGGGUCAUUGGAAACUGGAAAACUUGAGUGCAGAAGAGGAAAGUGGAAUUCCAUGUGUAGCGGUGAAAUGCGCAGAGAUAUGGAGGAACACCAGUGGCGAAGGCGACUUUCUGGUCUGUAACUGACGCUGAUGUGCGAAAGCGUGGGGAUCAAACAGGAUUAGAUACCCUGGUAGUCCACGCCGUAAACGAUGAGUGCUAAGUGUUAGGGGGUUUCCGCCCCUUAGUGCUGCAGCUAACGCAUUAAGCACUCCGCCUGGGGAGUACGACCGCAAGGUUGAAACUCAAAGGAAUUGACGGGGACCCGCACAAGCGGUGGAGCAUGUGGUUUAAUUCG